GAUGAACGCUGGCGGCGUGCCUAAUACAUGCAAGUCGAGCGAACAGACGAGGAGCUUGCUCCUCUGAUGUUAGCGGCGGACGGGUGAGUAACACGUGGAUAACCUACCUAUAAGACUGGGAUAACUUCGGGAAACCGGAGCUAAUACCGGAUAACAUGUUGAACCGCAUGGUUCAGCAGUGAAAGACGGUCUUGCUGUCACUUAUAGAUGGAUCCGCGCCGCAUUAGCUAGUUGGUAAGGUAACGGCUUACCAAGGCAACGAUGCGUAGCCGACCUGAGAGGGUGAUCGGCCACACUGGAACUGAGACACGGUCCAGACUCCUACGGGAGGCAGCAGUAGGGAAUCUUCCGCAAUGGGCGAAAGCCUGACGGAGCAACGCCGCGUGAGUGAAGAAGGUCUUCGGAUCGUAAAACUCUGUUAUUAGGGAAGAACAAAUGUGUAAGUAACUAUGCACGUCUUGACGGUACCUAAUCAGAAAGCCACGGCUAACUACGUG
Molecule: ribosomal RNA, 497 nt
Filed under: uncultured bacterium
Lineage: Bacteria
Description: partial 16S ribosomal RNA
Rfam family: Bacterial small subunit ribosomal RNA
Source: RNAcentral